RNAcentral lists this long non-coding RNA (607 nucleotides) under Mus pahari (shrew mouse). Its description in RNAcentral is "lncRNA (MGP_PahariEiJ_G0003575.1)". The record is from RNAcentral. Lineage: Eukaryota; Metazoa; Chordata; Mammalia; Rodentia; Muridae.
GUUGCAAGGUGGACAGAGGGAGUCGUGACUGUCCCCUCUGCUAGGGUGGGAAAAGCCACCAAGAAAUCAAGUCAGUCAUCAGUAUCCAGGCUACACAUUAGGCAGUGCCGGAUGUGCCCAGGUUUGACGUGUAUUUCCUGAAUCUUGUCACCUGCAGAAAGCUGCUUGAUCUCACUGGGAUGGCUGUGGCGAGGAUUAAGUGAAUAGUAGCAGAGGAGCCCACAGGAUGCUGACACACAACUGUUCCAAGAGGAACACUGCAUGCUGAUGCAAGGACUAUCCCCUCUUUACCACAUGCCGGGCUCCUUGGGAGUGGGAGUCACCGACAGUGGAUCUUGCUGAUCAUGUCGUUUGUCUCUCAAGCAGGCUGGUACCUGUCUGAACCCCCAAUGGCAACCUCCCAGGGAUAAAAAAGAUUAGGCAGCAAGAUUGAGCAUGCAAAAGGUGGCCAAGCCUAAGGUGGAGGUCUCUGACCAUUUCUAAGCUGAUAUCGACUGAGAGGAUGGCCGAGCGUACAGUUGGACCUGCGUUAGAUCACAGCUAGGCCACUUGCUUCCAUGGGGCCCCUGGUUGAGUCACAACAUGUGCCUGUGGUUUGGUUUGCUCA